Molecule: ribosomal RNA, 392 nt
Filed under: uncultured bacterium
Lineage: Bacteria
Description: partial 16S ribosomal RNA
Rfam family: Bacterial small subunit ribosomal RNA
Source: RNAcentral
AUACGGAGGAUCCGAGCGUUAUCCGGAUUUAUUGGGUUUAAAGGGUGCGCAGGCGGCCAUUUAAGUCAGCGGUUAAAUCGUGGGGCUCAACCCCAUUCUGCCGUUGAUACUGGGUGGCUUGAUUGCGGUCGAGGUUGGCGGAAUUCGUUGUGUAGCGGUGAAAUGCAUAGAUAUGACGAAGAACACCGAUUGCGUAGGCAGCUGACCAGACCGCAAAUGACGCUCAUGCACGAAAGUGCGGGGAUCGAACAGGAUUAGAUACCCUGGUAGUCCGCACAGUAAACGAUGAAUACUUGGUUUCGGCGAUAUAAUGUCGGAGGCAAAGCGAAAGCGAUAAGUAUUCCACCUGGGGAGUACGCCGGCAACGGUGAAACUCAAAGGAAUUGGCGGGG